CUCAGGUCUCCUGCUCUGCGCCCAGCAGCACGGGGUUUAGAGGCUGGAAAAAGUGAUUCAGAAAAAGAAGAAAAGUAGAAAAAGGAGAUAAUGAAGAAACAGCCGUUAUUCAGUCAUUUUUCUGCAGCUUUACCUGAAAGGAGAAUUGCUUCUGUGUGAUCCAUUACAAGAUACCAACAGCAUCAGUGUACUCCCAGGAAAGACGGUGCCCUCUGGAAAUAAUCAUACCAUCAAAAAUCGCCAACCACAUAAUGAAGUUAACAUCCAUGAAAGAAUCAACAGAUGCAACACAGGAACAGGAAACUUGGACACACUGAGAGAAACCAAGGGUGUGCAAGCACAGAGGGAUGACCACGUGAUCAUUCAGCAAGAGAGUGGCCAUCUGCAAGGCAAGAAGAGAGGCCUCAGAAGAAACCAAACCUGCCAGCACCUACCUCUUGGACUUCUAGCCUCCAGAACUUUGUGUGCUUAAUAAUGCAAGUGAUGGAGCAUUUUACUGAGUCUGGGCAGAGAUUUCAGCAUUCUCUAAAGAAAACCUACACCUAAAAUUAACUUGCUGAGGCAGCCAACUGCAGCCCCAAUGGAGAAGUGCUACAAGGUAUUUGGAGAUAAGAGAAUGUCUCAAAUAGAGAAACCAGAUGCGUUAUGAAAAAUGCGUAGAGGUCUGCAUGGCUGUUGGAUAAAGAAGACGUAUACCCCUCUGCCCUUGAGCAAUUUGAACAGCUAAAUUCCUUUAUUCUUAUAUCAUCUAUUGAAGUCAGCAAGUUCCUCCAGGAAGAAUCAAUAAGAUGGCUGCAUACUUAGAAGGGAUGCCAAACAGGGCUUCCCUGGUGGCGCAGUGAUUGAGAAUCUGCCUGCCAAUGCAGGGGACACGGGUUCGAGCCCUGGUCUGGGAAGAUCCCACAAGCCGCAGAGCAACUGGGCCCAUGAGCCACAAUUACUGAGCCUGGGCGUCUGGAGCCUGUGCUCCGCAACAAGAGAGCCCGCGAUACUGAGAGGCCCGCGCACCACGAUUAAGAGUGGCCGCCGCUUGCCACAACUAGAGAAAGCCCUCGCACAGAAACGAA
This is a long non-coding RNA of Balaenoptera ricei (Rice's whale), 1067 nucleotides long. RefSeq lists it as uncharacterized. The record is from RefSeq and is a predicted model, not a curated record. NCBI's taxonomy places the organism in Eukaryota, Metazoa, Chordata, Mammalia, Artiodactyla, Balaenopteridae. The transcript has 7 exons.